This 278-nucleotide ribosomal RNA is filed under the name uncultured Christensenellaceae bacterium. Its description in RNAcentral is "partial 16S ribosomal RNA". It matches the Rfam family "Bacterial small subunit ribosomal RNA", at positions 511 to 788 of the family's 1533-position model. Lineage: Bacteria; Bacillati; Bacillota; Clostridia; Christensenellales; Christensenellaceae. The record is from RNAcentral.
GCAGCCGCGGUAAUACGUAGGGGGCGAGCGUUGUCCGGAAUGAUUGGGCGUAAAGGGCGCGUAGGCGGCCCGUUAAGUCUGGAGUGAAAGUCCCGCUUUCAAGGUGGGAAUUGCUUUGGAUACUGAUGGGCUCGAGUGCAGGAGAGGAAAGCGGAAUUACCGGUGUAGCGGUGAAAUGCGUAGAGAUCGGUAGGAACACCAGUGGCGAAGGCGGCUUUCUGGACUGAAACUGACGCUGAGGCGCGAAAGCGUGGGGAGCAAACAGGAUUAGAUACCCC